CUGAUGCGUUGUUGGGUAGGGGAGCGUUCUGUAAGCCUGCGAAGGUGUGCUGUGAGGCAUGCUGGAGGUAUCAGAAGUGCGAAUGCUGACAUAAGUAACGAUAAAGCGGGUGAAAAGCCCGCUCGCCGGAAGACCAAGGGUUCCUGUCCAACGUUAAUCGGGGCAGGGUGAGUCGACCCCUAAGGCGAGGCCGAAAGGCGUAGUCGAUGGGAAACGGGUUAAUAUUCCCGUACUUGGUGUUACUGCGAAGGGGGGACGGAGAAGGCUAUGUUGGCCGGGCGACGGUUGUCCCGGUUUAAGCGUGUAGGUGUGUGUUCCAGGUAAAUCCGGUUCACUUUAACACUGAGGCGUGAUGACGAGGCACUACGGUGCUGAAGCAACAAAUGCCCUGCUUCCAGGAAAAGCCUCUAAGCAUCAGGUAACAUCAAAUCGUACCCCAAACCGACACAGGUGGUCAGGUAGAGAAUACCAAGGCGCUUGAGAGAACUCGGGUGAAGGAACUAGGCAAAAUGGUGCCGUAACUUCGGGAGAAGGCACGCUGACACGUAGGUGAAGUGAUUUACUCACGGAGCUGAAGUCAGUCGAAGAUACCAGCUGGCUGCAACUGUUUAUUAAAAACACAGCACUGUGCAAACACGAAAGUGGACGUAUACGGUGUGACGCCUGCCCGGUGCCGGAAGGUUAAUUGAUGGGGUCAGCGCAAGCGAAGCUCCUGAUCGAAGCCCCGGUAAACGGCGGCCGUAACUAUAACGGUCCUAAGGUAGCGAAAUUCCUUGUCGGGUAAGUUCCGACCUGCACGAAUGGCGUAAUGAUGGCCAGGCUGUCUCCACCCGAGACUCAGUGAAAUUGAACUCGCUGUGAAGAUGCAGUGUACCCGCGGCAAGACGGAAAGACCCCGUGAACCUUUACUAUAGCUUGACACUGAACAUUGAGCCUUGAUGUGUAGGAUAGGUGGGAGGCUUUGAAGUGUGGACGCCAGUCUGCAUGGAGCCGACCUUGAAAUACCACCCUUUAAUGUUUGAUGUUCUAACGUGGACCCGUGAUCCGGGUUGCGGACAGUGUCUGGUGGGUAGUUUGACUGGGGCGGUCUCCUCCUAAAGAGUAACGGAGGAGCACGAAGGUUGGCUAAUCCUGGUCGGACAUCAGGAGGUUAGUGCAAUGGCAUAAGCCAGCUUGACUGCGAGCGUGACGGCGCGAGCAGGUGCGAAAGCAGGUCAUAGUGAUCCGGUGGUUCUGAAUGGAAGGGCCAUCGCUCAACGGAUAAAAGGUACUCCGGGGAUAACAGGCUGAUACCGCCCAAGAGUUCAUAUCGACGGCGGUGUUUGGCACCUCGAUGUCGGCUCAUCACAUCCUGGGGCUGAAGUAGGUCCCAAGGGUAUGGCUGUUCGCCAUUUAAAGUGGUACGCGAGCUGGGUUUAGAACGUCGUGAGACAGUUCGGUCCCUAUCUGCCGUGGGCGCUGGAGAACUGAGGGGGGCUGCUCCUAGUACGAGAGGACCGGAGUGGACGCAUCACUGGUGUUCGGGUUGUCAUGCCAAUGGCACUGCCCGGUAGCUAAAUGCGGAAGAGAUAAGUGCUGAAAGCAUCUAAGCACGAAACUUGCCCCGA
Molecule: ribosomal RNA, 1607 nt
Filed under: Salmonella enterica
Lineage: Bacteria; Pseudomonadati; Pseudomonadota; Gammaproteobacteria; Enterobacterales; Enterobacteriaceae
Also listed under: 1 other name
Description: partial 23S ribosomal RNA
Rfam family: Bacterial large subunit ribosomal RNA
Source: RNAcentral